GACGAACGCUGGCGGCAUGCUUAACACAUGCAAGUCGAACGGAAAGGCCCUGCUUUUGUGGGGUGCUCGAGUGGCGAACGGGUGAGUAACACGUGAGUAACCUGCCCUUGACUUUGGGAUAACUUCAGGAAACUGGGGCUAAUACCGGAUAGGAGCUCCUGCUGCAUGGUGGGGGUUGGAAAGUUUCGGCGGUUGGGGAUGGACUCGCGGCUUAUCAGCUUGUUGGUGGGGUAGUGGCUUACCAAGGCUUUGACGGGUAGCCGGCCUGAGAGGGUGACCGGCCACAUGGGGACUGAGAUACGGCCCAGACUCCUACGGGAGGCAGCAGUGGGGAAUAUUGCACAAUGGGCGGAAGCCUGAUGCAGCAACGCCGCGUGCGGGAUGACGGCCUUCGGGUUGUAAACCGCUUUCGCCUGUGACGAAGCGUGAGUGACGGUAAUGGGUAAAGAAGCACCGGCUAACUACGUG
RNAcentral lists this ribosomal RNA (468 nucleotides) under uncultured bacterium. Its description in RNAcentral is "partial 16S ribosomal RNA". It matches the Rfam family "Bacterial small subunit ribosomal RNA", at positions 28 to 507 of the family's 1533-position model. The record is from RNAcentral.